ACUGUUCUCAAUGUCUCUAUAAUGAGCAUGGUGGAGAGAGGUUACAAAAGGGACCCACAGCAGUGCCGCAUGAAAGUCAAGGAGCUCAGGCAAGCCUUCCAAAAGACAAAGGAAGCAAACAGUCACUCCGGGUCAGAGCCCAUACAUGCCACUUCUAUGAU
Dermochelys coriacea (leatherback sea turtle) is the source of this 161-nucleotide long non-coding RNA. RefSeq lists it as uncharacterized. The transcript has 4 exons. Lineage: Eukaryota; Metazoa; Chordata; Testudines; Dermochelyidae. The record is from RefSeq and is a predicted model, not a curated record.